Molecule: small RNA, 74 nt
Filed under: Paraclostridium benzoelyticum
Lineage: Bacteria; Bacillati; Bacillota; Clostridia; Peptostreptococcales; Peptostreptococcaceae
Description: RAGATH-18 RNA
Rfam family: RAGATH-18 RNA
About the family: Actinobacteria, Firmicutes, Fusobacteria, Thermotogae (1 example). Nearby to self-cleaving ribozyme genes
Source: Rfam by way of RNAcentral
CCUAUGGAGUGUUAUAUCAAACUAAAGUAGAUAACUGUUUAUAGUUUUCAAAAUAGGACACUAUGAAUUAGGAA